RNAcentral lists this ribosomal RNA (390 nucleotides) under uncultured Pseudomonas sp. RNAcentral's name for it is "bacterial SSU rRNA". It matches the Rfam family "Bacterial small subunit ribosomal RNA", at positions 324 to 706 of the family's 1533-position model. Lineage: Bacteria; Pseudomonadati; Pseudomonadota; Gammaproteobacteria; Pseudomonadales; Pseudomonadaceae. The record is from RNAcentral.
UUUUGGUGAGGGGUCCUACGGGAGGCAGCAGUGGGGAAUAUUGGACAAUGGGCGAAAGCCUGAUCCAGCCAUGCCGCGUGUGUGAAGAAGGUGUUGGGAUUGUAAAGCACUUUAAGUUGGGAGGAAGGGCAGUAAGCUAAUACCUUGCUGUUUUGACGUUACAGACAGAAUAAGCACCGGCUAAAUCUGUGCCAGCAGCCGCGGUAAUACAGAGGGUGCAAGCGUUAAUCGGAAUUACUGGGCGUAAAGCGCGCGUAGGUGGUUGGUUAAGUUGGAAGUGAAAGCCCCGGGCUCAACAAGGGAAAUAAAUCCAAAACAGGCAAAAAAAAGAAAGGUAGAGGGGGGUGGAAUUUCAAGAAUAGCGGUGAAAUGGGUGGAUAUAGGAAGGAA